CAGUAGCCACGGUAACACGUAGGGUGCGAGCGUUGUCCGGAAUUACUGGGCGUAAAGGGCUCGUAGGUGAUUUGUCGCGUCGUCUGUGAAAUUCCGGGGCUUAACUCCGGGCGUGCAGGCGAUACGGGCAUAACUUGAGUACUGUAGGGGUAACUGGAAUUCCUGGUGCAGCGGUGAAAUGCGCAGAUAUCAGGAGGAACACCGAUGGCGAAGGCAGGUUACUGGGCAGUUACUGACGCUGAGGAGCGAAAGCAUGGGUAGCGAACAGGAUUAGAUACCCCGGUAGUCCCUGUCUCUUAUU
This 301-nucleotide ribosomal RNA is filed under the name uncultured bacterium. RNAcentral describes it as "partial 16S ribosomal RNA". It matches the Rfam family "Bacterial small subunit ribosomal RNA", at positions 509 to 808 of the family's 1533-position model. The record is from RNAcentral.